RNAcentral lists this ribosomal RNA (776 nucleotides) under uncultured archaeon. RNAcentral describes it as "bacterial SSU rRNA". It matches the Rfam family "Archaeal small subunit ribosomal RNA", at positions 112 to 879 of the family's 1478-position model. The record is from RNAcentral.
UUAUGGGGGGGAGUAUAACCUCGGGAACUGAGGAUAAUGCACCAUAAUUGAAACUGCCUAGAAUGGUUUUUCAAUGAAAGAGUAGCCUAAAUGGAGGUUAUUUUACCUUAGGAUAGGAUCGCGCCCGAUUAUGGCUGUUGGUGAGGUAACGGCUCACCAAACCUAUUAUCGGUAAGGGCCGUGAGAGCGGGAGCCCUGAGUUGGGUACUGAGACAAUGACCCAGGUCUUACGAGACGCAGCAGGCGCGAAACCUUGACAAUACACGAAAGUGUGAUCAGGUUACCCGGAGUGCUACAAUGUAGCUGUGGCAAGUGAGUUCGAUUCCUUGCUAGAAAGGAGAGGGCAAGGCUGGUGCCAGCCGCCGCGGUAAAACCAGCUCUUCAAGUGGUCGGGACGAUUAUUGGGCUUAAAGUGUCCGUAGCCGGUAUAGUAAGUUCCUGGUUAAAUCGGAUGGCUCAACUAUCUGUUGAUUAGGAAUACUGCUAUACUAGGGGGCGGGAGAGGUUUGAGGUACUCCAGGGGUAGGGGUGAAAUCCUAUAAUCCUUGGGGGACCACCAGUGGCGAAGGCGUCAGACUGGAACGCGCUCGACGGUGAGGGACGAAAGCCAGGGGAGCGAACCGGAUUAGAUACCCGGGUAGUCCUGGCUGUAAACGAUGCGUGCUAGGUGUUGGUAUGGCCUUGAGCCGUAUCAGUGCCGUAGGGAAACCGAUAAGCGCGCCGCCUGGGGAGUAUGGUCGCAAGACUGAAACUUAAAGGAAUUGGCGGGGGAGCAC